Molecule: ribosomal RNA, 717 nt
Filed under: uncultured bacterium
Lineage: Bacteria
Description: bacterial SSU rRNA
Rfam family: Bacterial small subunit ribosomal RNA
Source: RNAcentral
CAANGUAUGCUUUGGAAACUGUUAGACUUGAGUGCAGAAGGGGAGAGUGGAAUUCCAUGUGUAGCGGUGAAAUGCGUAGAUAUAUGGAGGAACACCGGUGGCGAAAGCGGCUCUCUGGUCUGUCACUGACGCUGAGGCUCGAAAGCGUGGGUAGCGAACAGGAUUAGAUACCCUGGUAGUCCACGCCGUAAACGCUGAGUGCUAGGUGUUAGGUCCUUUCCGGGACUCAGUGCCGACGCUAACGCAUUAAGCACUCCGCCUGGGGAGUACGACCGCAAGGUUGAAACUCAAAGGAAUUGACGGGGGCCCGCACAAGCGGUGGAGCAUGUGGUUUAAUUCGAAGCAACGCGAAGAGCCUUACCAGGUCUUGACAUCCCGAUGCCCGCUCUAGAGAUAGAGUUUUUCUUCGGAACAUCGGAGACAGGUGGUGCAUGGUUGUCGUCAGCUCGUGUCGUGAGAUGUUGGGUUAAGUCCCGCAACGAGCGCAACCCUUAUUGUUAGUUGCCAUCAUUAAGUUGGGCACUCUAGCGAGACUGCCGGUAAUAAACCGGAGGAAGGUGGGGAUGACGUCAAAUCAUCAUGCCCCUUAUGACCUGGGCUACACACGUGCUACAAUGGUUGGUACAACGAGUCGCAAGCCGGUGACGGCAAGCUAAUCUCUGAAAGCCAAUCUCAGUUCGGAUUGUAGGCUGCAACUCGCCUACAUGAAGUCGGAAU